GAUGUGCGAUGCAUUUGCCUCUUCCUCUUCCGCUUCCUUCCUGUGGCCACUGUGAUUGUGUGACGUGGUCGUUGCGGGCGUAUGAUCCUCUUCGCUCAGAGCGCGACCGGCUGCCGGGCCGUGGGGAUGUGUCGCCCCACUGGUAGUUUUUCCUGGAGAUGCUCAUCUGCCCUUUCGCUGAGUGAUUAACCCGUGACAGGAGCUGGCUGUCUUCUGCCUCUUUCCGGCGUGGCCGUAGCCUUGCGGAACGAGGCGAGGGUAAACUGCCGGCAACUACCAGUCACUCCUCCCUGGGUCUGCGCUGCCGUUUUGGCUCUACUACCGUUUUGGCUCUACUACCGUUUUGGCUCCAUUAUUGUAUCGGCUGUAUUGCUGUUUUGGCCUGAUGUGGAGUUUGUUCCUUCCUUUUCUCCUGUGUUGUUUUUUUCCUUUAUUGUAUUGAUGAGUUUAUUAUAUUGUCUUUAUCUUUUUUCUUUCUUUAGGUCAAUGU
Long non-coding RNA from Scatophagus argus, 490 nucleotides. RefSeq lists it as uncharacterized. NCBI's taxonomy places the organism in Eukaryota, Metazoa, Chordata, Actinopteri, Scatophagidae. The transcript has 3 exons. The record is from RefSeq and is a predicted model, not a curated record.